UGGUUGUCCUGGAGUCAAGCUGUACCCACCGCCUCAGCCUCCUGAGUAGCUGCGACUGGAAGCACAAAUCAUUGCGUCUGGCAUUCUUGAAAUUUUUCAUAGAGAAAUAUGCUCUGACAGUGAUAUACUAGAGACAUAAGUGCAUUUAUAAUGGUGUAAGAUUCAUUAAGUAGAUACUUCGCGUUUUUGGUUUUAAAUCAAUACUGACAGUUCCCUAACUUGUCUCCCAAUGCUUUGUGUUUCUUUUUUUUCCAUGUUAAUUUUAGUAUGGUUUCAACAUGGUCAUGUCUCAUCCACACGCUGUCAAUGAGAUUGCACUAAGCUUGAACAACAAGAAUCCCAGAACAAAAGCCCUUGUCUUAGAACUGUUGGCAGCCGUUUGUCUUGUCAGAGGCGGGCAUGAAAUCAUUUUAUCAGCAUUUGAUAACUUUAAAGAGGUUUGCGGAGAAAAACAGCGCUUUGAGAAGUUGAUGGAACAUUUCAGGAAUGAAGACAAUAACAUAGAUUUUAUGGUGAGUUAUUUCAGUAUUCAAUAAAGCAAACUCAAUUUCAAUACGUUUUUUCUAAAUAGACAUACACACACACACACACGUAUUUAUAUUACAAAGGACAGGGAAUUGCAAUUAAUAUGCUAUAGAUCCAAUCUAGAAUGUCCCUCUUAAUCUGUAUUUUCUCUUUGAUUUCCAUUUUAUUCCUUACAUACACGGUAUAGUAAAGACAAAAGUACUAAUCAUAGCAA
RNAcentral lists this small RNA (739 nucleotides) under Pongo abelii (Sumatran orangutan). RNAcentral describes it as "retained intron". The record is from RNAcentral. Lineage: Eukaryota; Metazoa; Chordata; Mammalia; Primates; Hominidae.